This 230-nucleotide long non-coding RNA is filed under the name Medicago truncatula (barrel medic). RNAcentral's name for it is "long non-coding RNA (MTRU_LNC000542)". Lineage: Eukaryota; Viridiplantae; Streptophyta; Magnoliopsida; Fabales; Fabaceae. The record is from RNAcentral.
CAAAACUGACCUAAUGCAAUGGUCGGAACGACCUUACAGGAAAAUGAAAUAAUAUAAGUCCGAAUACAACACUAUAAACGUCAACCUUCCCGAGACACCCACAACGUAUCCGCUAGUCUGGAUGGAUCCCGUCAAGAUCUAGGCUCGGAAACUUCUCAUGAACUCGUCCAAGAGCAUCAUGAAAGCCGUUGUCAUAAUCAACUACCCUUGGGCGGAAACUUCUCAUGAAC